RNAcentral lists this unclassified non-coding RNA (24 nucleotides) under Mus musculus (house mouse). Its description in RNAcentral is "oocyte_clustered_small_RNA266". Lineage: Eukaryota; Metazoa; Chordata; Mammalia; Rodentia; Muridae. The record is from RNAcentral.
UUGGUUCUCAGCAUCCACGGCAGG